GGUGCUGUGGCUAAGUUGGUAAAGUGCCUGUCUCGUAAACAGAUUCCUGGGUUCAAAUCCCAGCAGUACCU
Poeciliopsis prolifica (blackstripe livebearer) is the source of this 71-nucleotide non-coding RNA. NCBI's taxonomy places the organism in Eukaryota, Metazoa, Chordata, Actinopteri, Cyprinodontiformes, Poeciliidae. The record is from the annotation of a RefSeq genome assembly.